Long non-coding RNA from Pipistrellus kuhlii (Kuhl's pipistrelle), 376 nucleotides. RefSeq lists it as uncharacterized. The transcript has 3 exons. The record is from RefSeq and is a predicted model, not a curated record. NCBI's taxonomy places the organism in Eukaryota, Metazoa, Chordata, Mammalia, Chiroptera, Vespertilionidae.
GUGCUGCUGGGAACCAAGAUAAACAGUAAUUAAUAUAAAUGUGAGAAGCCUGAUCAGAAGGCUGAAUGGGGCUUUUUGAUAUUCACAGGGAUGAAUAUCUGCAUUUUAUUACCUACUGCUAAUGACUCCAUGGCAUAAAGCAAACUCCCCAAACCUGAUACUCUUACUGUUUACCAAACAUCACCUUUGGCAUGUCUGUUUGCAUUCCUAAAAGGCAAUUGUGUAUUCUAGUAAAUAAAAGCAGAUGUGAACAGACUCAGUGGAAUUUGGUCCCUUGUACCAAGAUCAUAACUGGCUUCCCCCAUAAUUUCCAAAUUUAUAUUUCUUGUCUUGUAUAAUUAAUUUGUGCGUCAGCCCUUUCUCCAAGUCUUUGAAC